Selaginella moellendorffii is the source of this 110-nucleotide non-coding RNA. The record is from Rfam. NCBI's taxonomy places the organism in Eukaryota, Viridiplantae, Streptophyta, Lycopodiopsida, Selaginellales, Selaginellaceae.
GCGCUCUUAGUUCAGUCCGGUAGAACGCAGGUCUCCAAAACCUGAUGUUGUAGGACUUUAAGCAUGUUAGCUACGUAAAGAUUACAAAAUUUUAAAUAUUUUAUUGUGGA